This 253-nucleotide ribosomal RNA is filed under the name uncultured bacterium. RNAcentral describes it as "partial 16S ribosomal RNA". It matches the Rfam family "Bacterial small subunit ribosomal RNA", at positions 524 to 776 of the family's 1533-position model. The record is from RNAcentral.
GACGAACUGCCCAAGCGUUGUUCGGAAUCACUGGGCUUAAAGGGCGCGUAGGCGGCAAUUCAAGUCAGGGGUGAAAUCCGGCAGCUUAACUGUCGAAGUGCCUUUGAUACUGAUUUGCUCGAGGGAGGUAGGGGUGUGUGGAACUUCUGGUGGAGCGGUGAAAUGCGUUGAUAUCAGAAGGAACGCCGGUGGCGAAAGCGACGCACUGGACCGCGUCUGACGCUGAGGCGCGAAAGCUAGGGGAGCAAACGGG